This 559-nucleotide ribosomal RNA is filed under the name Planomicrobium okeanokoites. RNAcentral describes it as "bacterial SSU rRNA". It matches the Rfam family "Bacterial small subunit ribosomal RNA", at positions 364 to 917 of the family's 1533-position model. The record is from RNAcentral. Lineage: Bacteria; Bacillati; Bacillota; Bacilli; Caryophanales; Caryophanaceae.
UAUCGCAUGCACGAAGUCUGACGGAGCAUGCCGCGUGAGUGACGAAGGUUUUCGGAUCGUAAAACUCUGUUGUGAGGGAAGAACAAGUACCAACUAACUACUGGUACCUUGACGGUACCUCACCAGAAAGCCACGGCUAACUACGUGCCAGCAGCCGCGGUAAUACGUAGGUGGCAAGCGUUGUCCGGAAUUAUUGGGCGUAAAGCGCGCGCAGGCGGUCCCUUAAGUCUGAUGUGAAAGCCCACGGCUCAACCGUGGAGGGUCAUUGGAAACUGGGGGACUUGAGUGCAGAAAAGGAAAGUGGAAUUCCACGUGUAGCGGUGAAAUGCGUAGAGAUGUGGAGGAACACCAGUGGCGAAGGCGACUUUCUGGUCUGUAACUGACGCUGAGGCGCGAAAGCGUGGGGAGCAAACAGGAUUAGAUACCCUGGUAGUCCACGCCGUAAACGAUGAGUGCUAAGUGUUAGGGGGUUUCCGCCCCUUAGUGCUGCAGCUAACGCAUUAAGCACUCCGCCUGGGGAGUACGGCCGCAAGGCUGAAACUCAAUGAAAUUUGACGGA